RNAcentral lists this long non-coding RNA (748 nucleotides) under Zea mays. RNAcentral describes it as "long non-coding RNA (ZMAY_LNC002631)". The record is from RNAcentral. Lineage: Eukaryota; Viridiplantae; Streptophyta; Magnoliopsida; Poales; Poaceae.
AUACCGACCCAUUCUUGUUAGCCGAUUCACCCACCCAAGGAUUGAUCUCCUGGCCAAGUUCUUACAGACAUCAUAUGCAAAAUGGUUGCAAUUCUUAUCUCAGUUUUGUUCAUCUCAAUGGAAGUAGCACUGAUCGAACUGAACCUCUAGAUGCCAAUUGACCAAGACACACUAUCUCCUUACCAUGAAUAAGACCAUCACGUGGAUGGCAUGCACAAGAUGAUGUAGGAGUAUGCCACAUACAACGGUGCAGAGGCUAACGAAGUUCUCCUCCUCCUCGUCCAGUGUGUGGAGCCUGUACCGCUCAAGCGGGUGAAGGAUCAGCUGGUAGCCGUCAGUGUACACCCAGUACAGCACGAUGGGCGAGAAGGUAACUGUGUAUACCCAGUAGAGAAUGAUCGCCAUCAUGACAUGAAUUUAGCACAAACAUAUUUCCCAAUCCCAUCAAAAGAUUUGCAAGAUCCGGGACCAAGCUACGGACCUCUAUGUAGCGUUCGAUGAACUGCCGCUCGAACAGGAGCCCUGACUUCGUCGACACCUCCGGCUCGUUCGGUACCUCACCCGAGAAUAGGGAUAAGCGACACGGGACGAGUUAGCUCAUGAAGCCACAGAUCAGCUAAUCUAGGGUUAGGAGACAGACAUGCGAGGGAGGGAAAGGGGCAUUACCUCUGUUGAGUCGAAUCCGACGGGAAUGCCCAUCAUAUUCAUCAUCUCCAGUUCCUCCGCAUUCACGUCGUCGUCACCCACC